RNAcentral lists this ribosomal RNA (492 nucleotides) under uncultured bacterium. RNAcentral's name for it is "partial 16S ribosomal RNA". It matches the Rfam family "Bacterial small subunit ribosomal RNA", at positions 29 to 507 of the family's 1533-position model. The record is from RNAcentral.
AGUGAACGCUGGCGGUAGGCCUAACACAUGCAAGUCGAACGGCAGCAGAGUAAGUGCUUGUUCUUACGGCGGGGGAGUGGCGGACGGUUGAGAAAUACGUGCGAAUUUACUGUUUCGAGGGGGAUAAGGAAGGGACACUUACGCUAUUACCCCAUACGACCUACGGGGGUGAGCAGGGGAUCUUCCGACCUUACAGGAGUGAAUGUGCCGAGGUCGGAUUGGCUAGUUGGCGGGGUACAGGGGCACCAAGGCGUCGCUCGGUAGCUGGUAUGAGAGGAUGAUCAGCCACGCUGGAACUGAGACACGGUCCAGACUCCUACGGGACGAAGCAGUGGGGAAUAUUGGACAAUGGGUGGAAGCCUGAACCUGGCAUACCGAGUGUGUGAAGAAGGCCUUCGGCUUGUAAAGCCCUUUUGUUUGGUAAGAACUGCAGUACGUUCAUACGCCGCUGUUAUGACGCUACCCACAGAAUAAGCACCGGCUAACUUCGUG